GUCCUGAUUUGAAGAAGUUUUUUUUUAAUCAGAUAAGCAUGAAGACUAAUAAACACCUGAUACUUCAAUUUCUCUUUUUUUUAAGAAAAAAAAAAGAAAAUGCCUACCUACCUACCCACUGUCUCAACCUUUGGGUAGGGUUUGGGCAAAACAAAAUAUUUUUAAUUGUGGCCCAGGAUAUAAAAAAUAUGGCCCCAAAAAUAUAAUUUGGCAUCUGCUGAAAAAGGAUGACAUGUGGAGUGAAUGUCAUCAUCAAUUAUUACAUUUCAUAAUCAGUUACUGUUUAUAGUGUUAGUAAAUAAGGAGGCGUGUAUCCAGGUCAAGAACUGUACCAUUAUUUUACCAAUUUAACACUUUAUAUUUCUGAAAUUAAAUUAUAC
Molecule: long non-coding RNA, 380 nt
Filed under: Mytilus galloprovincialis (Mediterranean mussel)
Lineage: Eukaryota; Metazoa; Mollusca; Bivalvia; Mytilida; Mytilidae
Source: RNAcentral